CCUACGGGAGGCAGCAGCUAAGAAUCUUCCGCAAUGGGCGAAAGCCUGACGGAGCGACGCCGCGUGAACGAAGAAGGCCGUGAGGUUGUAAAGUUCUUUUCGGGAGGGGGAACAACCGUGGCAGGGAAUGGCCGCGGGAUGACGUGAAUCCCGGAAUAAGCCCCGGCUAACUACGUGCCAGCAGCCGCGGUAACACGUAGGGGGCGAGCGUUGUUCGGAAUCAUUGGGCGUAAAGGGCGUGCAGGCGGUCGUGCAAGUCCGGCGUGAAAGACCCCGGCCCAACCGGGGGGACGCGCUGGAAACUGCAGGGCUUGAGUACAGGAGGGGAUGCCGGAAUUCCAGGUGUAGGGGUGAAAUCUGUAGAUAUCUGGAAGAACACCAAUGGCGAAGGCAGGCAUCUGGCCAUGUACUGACGCUGAGACGCGAAGGUGCGGGGAGCA
RNAcentral lists this ribosomal RNA (440 nucleotides) under uncultured Sphaerochaeta sp. RNAcentral's name for it is "bacterial SSU rRNA". It matches the Rfam family "Bacterial small subunit ribosomal RNA", at positions 338 to 770 of the family's 1533-position model. The record is from RNAcentral. Lineage: Bacteria; Pseudomonadati; Spirochaetota; Spirochaetia; Spirochaetales; Sphaerochaetaceae.